Molecule: ribosomal RNA, 301 nt
Filed under: uncultured bacterium
Lineage: Bacteria
Description: partial 16S ribosomal RNA
Rfam family: Bacterial small subunit ribosomal RNA
Source: RNAcentral
CAGCCGCCGCGGUAACACAGAGGGUGCGAGCGUUAAUCGGAUUUACUGGGCGUAAAGCGUGCGUAGGCGGCUUCUUAAGUCGGAUGUGAAAUCCCUGAGCUUAACUUAGGAAUUGCAUUCGAUACUGGGAAGCUAGAGUAUGGGAGAGGAUGGUAGAAUUCCAGGUGUAGCGGUGAAAUGCGUAGAGAUCUGGAGGAAUACCGAUGGCGAAGGCAGCCAUCUGGCCUAAUACUGACGCUGAGGUACGAAAGCAUGGGGAGCAAACAGGAUUAGAUACCCGUGUAGUCCCUGUCUCUUAUAC